GAAGAAGAAGAAGAGGAAGAAGAAGAAGAGGAAAAAGUCAUCGCUCUCUUCUCUCUAUCUCUUUUUUACUAAUUUUCUUUCUUUCUCUCUUU
Molecule: non-coding RNA, 92 nt
Filed under: Bathycoccus prasinos
Lineage: Eukaryota; Viridiplantae; Chlorophyta; Mamiellophyceae; Mamiellales; Bathycoccaceae
Source: RNAcentral